Molecule: non-coding RNA, 4039 nt
Organism: Petromyzon marinus (sea lamprey)
Lineage: Eukaryota; Metazoa; Chordata; Hyperoartia; Petromyzontiformes; Petromyzontidae
Source: RefSeq, a predicted model, not a curated record
CCAAUUGCCGUGCUGCUGCUGCUGCUAAAUCAGUCACAGCUCCAAUGAGCUGCGAGCAGCGUCUCUCUUCCAUUACAACGAGAUUCCCCGUCGUGUGAUUUAUAUAUAUGUGUGAUGAUGAUGAUGAAGGAGAGAGAGAGAAAGUUACCUGCAGCUGUAAUUCUAUCUGUGAGACACCCCUCCUCGUGCUGCUGGUGGGGGCAACACGUGGGUGUCUUGAGCUUCGUGGGUCAGUCGAGUUGGUGAAAGCCACCCUCAAGGAAACAGACGAUCCGACUCGUUCACGGGCCCUGCUUGGAAUCAAACUCAGGUCAACAGGUUCAGAGGGCAGUGUGCUAACCCCUGCACCACGCCAUUCCCACCCCAUUAUUAUUGUCAACCUGGGUGCUUCGUCCCCUUUCACACCAGGGGCCAAUUGGUAACUACCCCGCGAGUCUCACCCCAAUGUUGACUCAGCUCGACAACGAAUGACGUCGGCUGCAGAACGUCAACAUGAGCAAUGCGUCGCGAUGCUGCCCACACCCGCAUGCCACUGUGUGCUGUGCUCACCUUAAUAGGUGCUCGCUAACAAUGACUUGCCGGUAUAUCCCACGGUUAAUUGAAAUAGAUGUGUUUUUUUUGCGUGUGUGAUAUUCAAAUGCAGCAAUGUAUACACGACAAUGCAUAUUAAAUCGCGUAAGUUAUUAUCAUCAUACUACGAUGAUGAUGAUAACUUUUGUCAAUCCACUGCUGGACGAACACCUCAUGCCACAUCGGUCGUGGGGUUAAUUGACCAUACUUCACCGCGCUGGUCAGGGCAUCUCGGGGAAGCUGGGAGCUCGCGAUCGCAUCACGUUUAUCUCGCUUUCGAUGUUAGCCGUGGAGUCGAAUUUAGGUGGCCGGGUUCAUCGUGCGGAGCACUGACCACUACACCACUGCGCUACGCCUGAGAAAAACGCAGACUGCAGAUUGUUUUUUGAGAAUCAACGACACUAACUCCGACAAUCCAGCUCUACCCAUCAAUAUGCGUACGCGUGAACAGUAACAGGCAUAUGCAGACGAGCCGUAAUUAAAUCAUCAUCGUCGUCAUCAGCCACCGUCCAUCCACUGCCGGAUUAGAAGCCCCCCCCUCCCCCCGUGCUGUCACCAUCCCUCGUGGUCAGGCGACGACGUCCCAAUCCAUCUCGCGUCUGCGCAUCGGCUGCGUCUCAUCGCUCCAUCCCUGCAGCGGGCAUCCUCUCAGCUCGCCUUUCUUACUUUGGCUGCCAAUCAUGUUGUCGCGCGGCGCUUUCAGAUGCGCUGCUUCUGCGGCCGUCUGGAACGCUCUUCCUUCAGAUCUUAGGAAGCUACUGGAGCUUUGCCCUUUUAACUAAUCUCGAUUGAAAACGGAUUGCUCCAGAACUGCUUUUUAUGUUUUGUUUGAUUGUCAUCCCCCACACCCCCUAUUAGUGCGGUUGGCUACGUACGGUGCGAAAGAAGUUCUACACACAUGCAGACACUCUAUGGGGCCAGGGUUCGGUUUGUAUGGCCACAACGGGUUCACUCUGUGGGGCCAGGGUUCGGUUUGUAUGGCCACAACGGGUUCACUCUAUGUGGCCAGAGUUUGGUUUGUAUGGCCACAAUGGGUUCACUCUGUGGGGCCAGGGUUUGGUUUGGAUGGCCACAAUGGGUUCACUCUGUGGGGCCAGGGUUUGGUUUGCACGGCCACAGUUGCACUACCACCGUGGCAGCUGUGUCUUGAAUGUUUGAUGUGUGCAGCGACCUGGUGGUGGUGUUACGAUGAUCCGGGUUGAUGGUUCCACCACCGGUGUGUUCGAGGAGGAGGAGGAGGUGCGAUGAUGUUUGGAUCUCGAAUGAGGAUGGUGUUUAUUAUUCUGGACGUCCGCGUUGUUCCACUUUUUCCCAGUUGUAGCCCCUCCAACAAUUGUCUUGAUGAUCAAAACUUCUUGGACGUGGCUUUUGGUUUGCUCAUGGCUACAUACAACUGUACCGUAUUGGCAUCCUACUCGGCAGCCAUUGGAAACGUUUUUCAAUUCCUUCCUGUUGUUAAUUUCCACUCACUUUUUUAUCAUGACCCAUUUCAUCAGCAAUGCUGAGGCGACUUCAAAUGUAUGCAUUUGAUCUAUUCAAUGCAAUAAAAAAUCAAGCCUUCUAACAUGGCCGUGAAUAAUUUUGGAUUUUUUUUUACACAGAAAUGAGAUACGUCCAUCGUGAAACGGCGCCUCAAUCAUUAUCCUCUCCAAGAGGGGUGAUUAAACCGACUUGAAGACUUACAGAUCCAUUGCCUUCUUCGAAAUUGUACAUAAUUCAUUUCCAUAAUUCUGACUUAUAUUUGAUGAGGUACAUCUGACAUUGGUGAAUGCUUUCUCCAUUUAAUAUCACAGUACGCCUUGGAUUUUCGAAUACUGUUUCGGAGACAUCUCCUCCCGUUGAUGCCGCGAGGAGCUAUUGAACUACGUCGGAAGAGAGUCGAAGAACGCUCCGAGCAACAUCUCUUCUUCGUAGCACCGACAUUGAGAGCCCAGAGAGAUGGAGCAGCUAAGAGUUGACCGCUCAACCUUACAACCAAGCAGUGCAAAUGUAGACUCCGCAGCUGUUUGGAAGCAGAUCGCGUGCGGUACUCCCACGAAUUCCAAGACGUCUGGCCAGGAUUUAAGAAUCGGCCAAAAUGCCCUCCCGAAGAAGCUAUCUAAAGCCCCCCUCGAGCGGAGGAUCGUCCGGCAGCAGUGGCAUGAGCAAGGCAUUGCAGGGCUGCACUUCGACCGAGCGGAGUUUCGGCGUGGAAGAUAAUGCCAUUGCAAUAUCAAUAGAUUGCAUUUGCAGAUUUGACUAAGACACACUCGUGGCUCGGAAUCACGGCCAGCAUUAUAUCCACUUGACAUUGUAAACUGAAAAUUCAUGUGCGGUCGUUAACAUGGGGUGAAAGGAAAAGUGGAGGGAGGGGGAGGGGUACAAAUAAUAUUAAUGCUAAGAAAUCAAUAUGUGUAUAAUGAUCAGUGGCCUAAGACUUUCAUGAUUAAUUCCUUGCAUUACUUUUAAUUAACCUGCAAUGUGUCCACCAAGAGCGGGAGAUUUUGCCGUGAGGUAGACGGUUCCCGGACAGUGAUAAAUGCUUCCAUUACAAAGUAUCUUGUUGUACAUGCACCGCAAAUCUGUGUGUGUGUAAUUAAAGGGCAUCUGGCCACGCGGUAGUGACUUGUCGCCCAGGGGAAUUGCCAGUGAUGUCAUUAAUAUGUAGACAUUUAUGUCUUAGUGUUGUAACGUUUUGUAAAGAUUGAGCUUCGUGCAUCUGGCUAAUCCUCCUUCGCACCUCUGAUUAGAAGUUCAACAUACAUAUACAUACAGCACAUACAAUCCUCUAUAACGUUACUCUUUGGUUUUAUUCGGUAAAGUCACGUAGGUAAAAUAACAACCUCUAUAACGUUCUGCUAUUAUAUGCGUGGUUGUUAUUUUCUCUGAGACCUUUAGUUUUUUCCACUAAGUGAAAAUACAGUACUCCCAUAAUUGACUCUUCUUUAAAUAGAUAACACAACAUCACCUUUACGACAAAUAGUGGUUGUGGAGAAUAUAAGUUGCGAUUUCUUAUAUAAAUAUAUUCCAAAACGAAGCUAAUGCGUCGAACUCGGACUCAUUUAAGAAUGUGUCCUUGCCUAUAAACAUUUGAUGGUUCACCCAGAAUUGGCUCAAGCAAGACAAUCUGAUGAGGCGCUGAAUGUCAAACCCGUUUGCUUGCCUUGGCUGAAGUUACGUGCCCGCAGAAGGCCGUGUGGCUAUAGUGGAAUGUGUAAAAAAAAACACUCACUUUUAAUAUUUCAUGUGAAUGGACGGAUUUAUGAAGAAGGGCGUCUUGUUUGCUUAUUCUAAUUUGAAUAUAGCCACGGGACUUUGUACUUAGGUUAUUUUAAUGCGACUGCCCCGUGAUCUCAGUGAGACAAUGCUAUAAUUGGCAACAACAACAACCGCCAUUCGCGACGAAGUGGCGGUGACGUCACCACGACGCCUGUGCCAGGCUAUGUGCACGUUGAGGCCACGUGAAGUGUCGAACGCCCACUGGCACGAG